AGAAAACCAAAGAAAUUGCCUGGUACUUCUUUCAUCUCUGAAUUAAUUUUCUGUAUACAGCUCUAAAUUGUCAGGCCUGAUGUACCCGUUGUGUAGUUCUAUAGACUCUUUAUGUGUUCUCAAUGUCUGAGAGCUUUGUAAUUUCUGAACUGCAUGAAUUGUUCAAUCCAUGCGGUGCCCUGAUGUGGAGUAAUAAUCUGCACUUAAUUUUUGCAUCAUUUUUAAUAUCCUAUACUGUUUUGUGGUAAAGCAAUGUGUUAUAUCUCUGACAUGCUUUCCCUUGAUUUGAUUUGGUAUGAUAGUGAUAAGACAUGGCUACAUUGUACCAUGGUGUUCUCGGUUUGUACUUUUGGAAAAAAAAUUGAAUGCUGAUUUUUUUUGUCUUCUUUUUGACUAUGGCAACAAGUGCUCAUUGUGGAAUACCUCUCGUUU
RNAcentral lists this unclassified non-coding RNA (432 nucleotides) under Hevea brasiliensis (rubber tree). The record is from RNAcentral. Lineage: Eukaryota; Viridiplantae; Streptophyta; Magnoliopsida; Malpighiales; Euphorbiaceae.